UCUCCGUAGGUGAACCUGUGGAGGGAUCAUUACUGAGUGAGGGUCUCCGGGCCCGACCUCCAACCCUUUUGUGAACCACCUCGUUGCUUCGGGGGCGACCCGGCCUUCGGGCGUCGGGGCCCCCGGUGGACCACCCAACCCUGCAUCGUUGCGUCUGAGUCGAAAUAUAAAUCAAUCAAAACUUUCAACAACGGAUCUCUUGGUUCUGGCAUCGAUGAAGAACGCAGC
Molecule: unclassified non-coding RNA, 228 nt
Filed under: uncultured fungus
Lineage: Eukaryota; Fungi
Description: sequence contains ITS1, 5.8S rRNA gene
Rfam family: 5.8S ribosomal RNA (bases 180-228)
Source: RNAcentral